Molecule: ribosomal RNA, 432 nt
Filed under: uncultured bacterium
Lineage: Bacteria
Description: partial 16S ribosomal RNA
Rfam family: Bacterial small subunit ribosomal RNA
Source: RNAcentral
ACGAACGCUGGCGGCAGGCCUAACACAUGCAAGUCGAACGAAGUCUUCGGACUUAGUGGCGCACGGGUGAGUCACACGUGGGAAUAUACCUUACGCUGGGGGAUAACAUCGGGAAACUGAUGCUAAUACCGCAUACGCCCUUCGGGGGAAAGAUUUAUCGGCGAAAGAUUAGCCCGCGUCCGAUUAGCUAGUUGGUGAGGUAAUGGCUCACCAAGGCUCCGAUCGGUAGCUGGUCUGAGAGGAUGACCAGCCACACUGGGACUGAGACACGGCCCAGACUCCUACGGGAAGCAGCAGUGGGGAAUAUUGGACAAUGGGCGCAAGCCUGAUCCAGCCAUGCCGCGUGAGUGAUGAAGGCCUUAGGGUUGUAAAGCUCUUUCACCCACGACGAUGAUGACGGUAGUGGGAGAAGAAGCCCCGGCUAACUUCGUG